RNAcentral lists this microRNA precursor (122 nucleotides) under Daphnia pulex (common water flea). Its description in RNAcentral is "Dpu-Mir-216-P2_pre stem-loop". Lineage: Eukaryota; Metazoa; Arthropoda; Branchiopoda; Diplostraca; Daphniidae. The record is from RNAcentral.
AAAUCUCAUACGGUAAUUUGGAGAAAAUUGGGAAAAUUCCUUGUAGGAGUUUUGGUUAUUCGUGCGUUUGCUCGAGUCUCUCCAUCCAUGGCCCAGUAUCCAAAUUGCUGUUUGGGGUGGCC